Molecule: ribosomal RNA, 375 nt
Filed under: uncultured organism
Description: partial 16S ribosomal RNA
Rfam family: Bacterial small subunit ribosomal RNA
Source: RNAcentral
GUAGGGUGCGAGCGUUAAUCGGAAUUACUGGGGCGUAAAGCGUGCGCAGGCGGUUGUGCAAGACAGAUGUGAAAUCCCCCGGGGCUCAACCUGGGGAAUUGCAUUUGUGACUGCACGGCUAGAGUGUGUCAGAGGGGGGUAGAAUUCCACGUGUAGCAGUGAAAUGCGUAGAGAUGUGGAGGAAUACCGAUGGCGAAGGCAGCCCCCUGGGAUAACACUGACGCUCAUGCACGAAAGCGUGGGGAGCAGACAGGAUUAGAUACCCUGGUAGUCCACGCCCUAAACGAUGUCAACUAGUUGUCGGGUCUUAAUUGACUUGGUAACGCAGCUAACGCGUGAAGUUGACCGCCUGGGGAGUACGGUCGCAAAGAUUAA